RNAcentral lists this ribosomal RNA (320 nucleotides) under uncultured eukaryote. Its description in RNAcentral is "partial 18S ribosomal RNA". It matches the Rfam family "Eukaryotic small subunit ribosomal RNA", at positions 1470 to 1796 of the family's 1831-position model. The record is from RNAcentral.
CCCUUAGAUGCUCUGGGCCGCACGCGCGCUACACUGAACAGUUCAACAAGUCUUAACCUUGGCCGAUAGGUCUGGGUAAUCUUUGAACGCUGUUCGUGAUUGGGAUAGACCUUUGCAAUUAUGGGUCUUCAACGAGGAAUUCCUAGUAAACGCAAGUCAUCAGCUUGCAUUGAUUACGUCCCUGCCCUUUGUACACACCGCCCGUCGCACCUACCGAUUGAAUGGUCCGGUGAAAUCUCGGGACGGCGGCUUGGUCGCUUGCGUCCGACUGCUGAAACUUGAUUAAACCAUAUCAUUUAGAGGAAGGUGAANUCGUANCA